This 71-nucleotide transfer RNA is filed under the name Candidatus Kaiserbacteria bacterium RIFCSPLOWO2_01_FULL_53_17. RNAcentral's name for it is "tRNA-Pro". It matches the Rfam family "tRNA". Rfam says of the family: Transfer RNA (tRNA) molecules are approximately 80 nucleotides in length. Their secondary structure includes four short double-helical elements and three loops (D, anti-codon, and T loops). The record is from RNAcentral. Lineage: Bacteria; Candidatus Kaiseribacteriota.
CGGGCCGUAGUAUACCGGUAGUACGCUUCCUUCGGGAGGAAGUAGAGUGAGUUCGAUUCUCGCCGGCCCGA